This 253-nucleotide ribosomal RNA is filed under the name uncultured bacterium. RNAcentral describes it as "partial 16S ribosomal RNA". It matches the Rfam family "Bacterial small subunit ribosomal RNA", at positions 524 to 776 of the family's 1533-position model. The record is from RNAcentral.
UACGUAGGGUGCAAGCGUUGUCCGGAUUUAUUGGGCUUAAAGGGUGCGCAGGUGGGUAUUUAAGUCUGGUUUGAAAGCAGGUGGCUCAACCAUCUGAUGUGGCUGGAAACUGGAUAUCUUGAAUGGGUUGGCGGUAGCCGGAAUGGGUCAUGUAGCGGUGAAAUGCAUAGAUAUGACCCGGAACACCGAUUGCGAAGGCAGGCUACUACGACUUGAUUGACACUGAGGCACGAGAGCAUGGGUAGCGAACAGG